ACCAAACUAUAAAUUUCAAACAAAUUACAUGAAAAAUCAAAAACCACUUAUUCAAAGAUACCAAAAACCAAAAGCCAAAAGCAAGAAAACAUUAUAGACCCACCACCCACUCUUAAUAAUAGAUAUCAAAGCAAGCCAACCCAUAAACCCAUUUCGCUUUUGCUUUUGUAAACUAUAAUGUUUAAUCACACUCCUUCACCUUUUCUUUUUCCUUUUCUUCUUCACUCUUUGAGUGAUACCCGGGGAUUUUCUCUUUUAUUUUCUCAAAAAUACCCUUCUUCUCCUUCUGUUCACCUUCAUCGGCGUGUGUCACCACCGCCGGCGGUGGUGGUGGUGGAGUAGCAGCAAGCUCCUCCUCCUUCUUAUGGCCGCCGGGAAGUUUCUCCUUGAUCUUUUCCAUGAAACCCUUCUUCUCCUCCGGCUCAGGUGGUCCAUGCUGGAGUGGAGCUACAUCGUAUUUCUCAAUCGGUACAGUAGUUUCAUCUUCUUGUUUCGUGAGCUUCUCCUUGAUCUUCUCCUUCAAUGGCUUCUUCUUCUUCUUCUUCUCUCCAUUUUCAUCGCACUCUUCGUCACUCGACUGUUAACAAAUAUCACCAAAGGAAACAUACUUUUAGUAUGGAAAUAAACAUAUCGUAAUGAAUCAGAGAUCAUGUCAUUAAGUAAACGAUUUGAUUCAAAGGUUAGAAAUGGAGACAGAAAACUUACGCUACUGGAACUGCUAUCGGAUCUGUGAAGUUUCUCGAGCAAGCUUUCUUUCUUCUCCUCCG
Molecule: long non-coding RNA, 767 nt
Filed under: Lactuca sativa (garden lettuce)
Lineage: Eukaryota; Viridiplantae; Streptophyta; Magnoliopsida; Asterales; Asteraceae
Description: long non-coding RNA (LSAT_LNC007937)
Source: RNAcentral